Molecule: long non-coding RNA, 407 nt
Filed under: Physcomitrium patens
Lineage: Eukaryota; Viridiplantae; Streptophyta; Bryopsida; Funariales; Funariaceae
Description: long non-coding RNA (PPAT_LNC007449)
Source: RNAcentral
GGAUUAGAUUUAGGAUUUUAGGUGUGAUUUAAGGUUUAGUUAGGCUUAGGAUUCGAUUUAGGUUAAGAUUUGUAUAAGAUUUGAUUAAGAUUUGAUUAAGAUUUAACUAGGAUUUGCUCAGGAUUUGUUUAGGAUUUGGUGAGGACUUACUUAGGAUUUGACUAAUAUUUAUUUAGAAUUUGAUUAAGACUUGAUUAAGACUUGAUUAGGAUUUGUUUAGGAUUUGAUUAGGAUUUAACUAGAAUUUGCCUAGGAUUUGUCUAGGAUUUGGUUAGGACUUAUUUAAGAUUUGAUUAAUAUUUGGUUAGGAUUUAUUUAGGAUUUGAUUAGAAUUUAUUUAGGAUUUGAUUAGGAUUUGAUUAGAAUUUGACUAGGCUUUGGCUAUGGUUUGCCUAAGAUUUGUUUAG